UUAACCUUUUCAUAAAGUUCAAGCUUCUCUUCUGUUUCAAUUUCAUCUUCAAUUUUCUAUUCAAUUUCAUCCUCAAUUUUAUCUUCAUAAUUCAUGCUGCCAUAUAAACAAUGAAACAAUAAUAAAAAUAAUAAUAAAGACAUUUUACUAAAAUACAAAAAUAAAAAUACGAAUUCAUUAAUGAUCAAAAGAAAGAUAAAAAAUAAAACACCAACAAAAUAAUGUACUUAUAAAAAGAUGGUCAAACAAAAAAAAACAUAAUUUUCAAAACAUGACUGAAAUCAUCACUAUCCUCUAAUCUUUAAUCUUGAAAGCUAUCCAACUUGCUCGUUCGGC
Molecule: long non-coding RNA, 336 nt
Filed under: Salvia miltiorrhiza (redroot sage)
Lineage: Eukaryota; Viridiplantae; Streptophyta; Magnoliopsida; Lamiales; Lamiaceae
Description: long non-coding RNA (SMIL_LNC008747)
Source: RNAcentral